Humulus lupulus (European hop) is the source of this 1201-nucleotide long non-coding RNA. RefSeq lists it as uncharacterized. Lineage: Eukaryota; Viridiplantae; Streptophyta; Magnoliopsida; Rosales; Cannabaceae. The transcript has 4 exons. The record is from RefSeq and is a predicted model, not a curated record.
CUAAUUUACUAUCUAGAAUGAAAUUUUGAGGAGACUUGAUUUAUUUUAAAGUAAAGUAAUAAAGGUUAUAGGCACAUCGUAGUAAAAAUAACUUGAUCUAUCAUGGCCCAAACUUGUACUAUUUGUGACAUGGUACUUUAAUUCAAGAGAAGUACCAAGCUUGCUGGCCCAAAAUGGUCACCAUUUGCUUCAUGGAUAACUGGCUGAUUAUUAGCCAAGUUGGACAAAAAUGGGGUAGAUUGAAUAUUGAGGAAGAUGAUGAUGGGCAACCAAGGAAGAAGGUUCAUCUAGGUGUUCCAGCGACACAAUGGAUUUCAGUUUACAAUGCUCGUCAGCCAAUGAAACAGAGGUGCAUUUUUUGAAUGUUAUGUUAUUUUUUUUUUACCCUUGAAGUAGUAUCAUUUGUCAUUUCUGUUGAUAUUACUAGCAGUAUUCUGCCUAUAUUUCUUUCUGUUAAUUUUUAAAUGCUUGGAUUGGAACCAUAUACAACUUUCUUAAUCUCUCUAUUUUUCUUUGUUGCCAACCAUAAGCAAGAACAAGUGCCCUACCAGCUGUCAUGUUCUUCUUCUCUGUGCGUCUCUCAAAAUCUCAUCUAUGGUUUUUGGUUUUCAGUUUCAUAUUAAUAAAUAUAUAUAUUUGUUGAAAUACAUGUGUUUAUUUUUUGUACUAUAUUCAUUUAUAUAUAAAUAUAUAUUAUACUGUUGUUGGAAAGGAAGGGAAGAUGGCAGAUUUUUAUGAUUUUCCCUCUUAAAUGUAUUAAAUUUAGUUAUAUGCAAUUCAUAGAUUGAAUAUUACUUUAAAUUAACGUCGUGGCUUAUGCAUGCAUGAUGAAUAAUUAGAAUAGGUCUUAUCCCCUUAUUCUUGUGUGCAGGGUAUUGACUCAAAGAAUCAGACUUCUCUCUUAUACAUUCUUGAGAAAAGCAAACUAUGACUGAAUAGUUGUACCUAUGGUAGGUUCAUUAUGAGUUUAAUACAUUGACGGGUACUGGACUUCUUGCAUGGUAAAGAGAAUUUUAUGUCUAAUCUUUUGAUGAUGUUGCAAUGGUCUCCUUUUGCGACAGAAGCAGAGCUUCUGAAGCAAUUCAUCUUGAUACAUUCCGUAGUCUCAUUAAGAGGCAUGCUUGCUAUUAAUCAUCUUGUGUCUAUAAAUACUAAGACAUAAUCAUGGAUUGAUGCUGCCCAUUUUUCAUGUUUUAGAGAA